GCCUCCAAUCCCCUUUUCCUCCUGCCCCCAAUCCCCUUCCUCCUCCUCUCGCCGCAGCCGCCACCAACCAGCACCUCCCACCUUGCUCUCCCUCCAUUUCUUCCUCUUCCCAGCCCGGCCCCCAACCUGCACGUUGAUGUCAUCGUCUCCAUCGAGCUCUGCCUCCUCGCUUUUCCGUCGGGCACGGAGCAGAUGAAGGCGCCAGGUAGAUGGCGGGAGCUGCAGGAGAACGUCGUCGUCCUUAGCGCACGGGAGGGGGUGCAGGAAGUGCCGCUGCUGCUGGCCCUCCUCCUCAGCUUCCGUACGUAUGCAGGCCAAUUCCUCGACUCCGUGGCGAGCAGCAGCCGCAGCAUCAGCACGGCUCUGGCUGCACGUUGGAGCAAGUCCAGUUAAAAAAAAGCAGUUGAUAAAGGCAUCGAGUAUAAGCACUCCGGCGCCCUCUCUCCAUGUUCAUGAUACCUGACUGGAGUUGGAUGUCUUCUGUACUAAGAUGGAGCCAAGCAGUCGAUUUGGCCAAUCCUUGAUUUUUGAAUUUGUUAAUCAGUUUUUUUGCUAACUCAAUUUUUAGACUGAGCGCUAUUGGUGAUUAUAUUUUCUUUUCAUUCUUUCUUUACAUGUAUUCUGAACUUUUGAUCUGGUGGUGUUGUCAUGGCCUGUGCUUUCGAAGGCCGACGUACCCGAUCCUCCCGGAGAUGGCUUAGAGAGGCUGGAUAGGUCCACUCUCUUUUGGACGGAGUCUGGUUCCAGCAAUGAGUUUGGGCUCUGCUUCCUCGGGCUGCUUGCGCCGCGUUCUUCUGCGUCAUCUCCCCGGUCACGGCGGCGCUCUCGUCGUGCAUUGCAGGCUCGUGCAGCUAUGCGUGGUAGUGGUGUAAGGGGUGGCCGUCGCCUCUACAUCACCGCCAGUCUCCUGCAGCUUACCUCAAGUUACCUCAAGUUAGUAGGUUUUACCAUGUCAUGAACUGGGUUAGUAGGUUUUACCAUGUCACUGUCAUCUUACCUCAAGUUUAUACAGAAUUCUGUAUUUUUUCAGCAGCUUAUCUUCCUUUGUUCCAAUGUCAGACAACAACAGUUUGGUAGUACAUGGAAAUAGUACAGAAUAUGAUGUUUUUUUCGAACUUGGGAGAAAUUGCAUCGUGCAAAGUUUGUUGAUAAUUAGUCCAAGCCACUGCCUUUAAAAAGAUUUGCUGAACCCAGUCCAGACCAUUGCAUUUAAAAAUAUAUUAGUUGAGCCCCUUCCACUUUUGUUAUAUUUUCUUCUCAGACAGUUAUACUUGAACAACUAUGCACUCUUGAUGGCAUCCUGAUGUGUUUUUGGGUUGUACUGCCUUUUGUUGUUACAACUGUUAAUUCUUCUAUCUUAGGAGUGGACAUUGGGGCGGUGGUAGAGGAAUUGUUGUGCUACUUCAUUGGCCCCAGAUAGUGUAAGUUGUUUAGGUUGAUGUCAAAUGGUAAAGUUAUUAUUUCAACUUGAUGUCUGGAUUGCCACUUGCAUGCUUGGUCCCGAUAUCAUUAUGGUAUGGCAUGGUUCUAACUAUCCAUAUUUAUCUCAAAAAUUUACUCCAUCUUUUGCUAAACUAUUUUUUCCCAUGUAUGUGCUUUUAGUUGAAGUAAGGUGAUUGGAAUGAAUUAGUGUCACAUUGGUUAUGUCACAUUGGCAUGUUCAUUUUGAUCCUUGCUCGCCCUCUGAAAAUUCUUAAUUUCAAUUUGUUAAGGUGAAAGAAGUGUGCUAGGCUGCUGGUCUCCUUUUAUUUUGACCUUAUUUUCCUUUUUGGUUGGAUGGCAGUGAAAGAACUAUAAUUGAAGCAUUGAACAUGGCCACAUUGAAUUUACUGAAUGUUUAUGUUCCAAUUGCAGCGAGCAGGUGCUUUCUUCCCCUCCUCAAGAUUCUAGAAAUAUAGUAUAUAAUAUAUAUAUACUUUAUUAGCUCUAUAAAUUAUAGAACAGUUAAUUCCCAACACGAGGAGCACUAUAUUUCCCGAUAUGAUUCUGCUAGCAUACAUAUGUUUUUAGAAUCAUCCCUUCUAUUAUGCAUGUUCUAGGUAGAUCUCAGUACUAACUACUACUAACUACCGAGAAAAGUUGUUGUUGAUGCUGUUACCUCCACCUUAGCAGUCAUCAUGUGCAAUAUGCUUUGUUUCAUCACAGACUAACACAUAUUUUCUAUAAGUUUUGUCUUUCUGCUUUGGUUACAUACUUCAUAGGUUGUCGUGAUUUCACUUUUGUUACAUAAUUUGUUUUUAUUCUGACAAGGAUAACCAUCUCUUCUCAUUUACUGCAUGAAAAGAUCAGAUAAAAAAAGAAGCAUCUCAGAUUGACAUCCAUGAAGUUCAGACAUUUCAGGUUCAUAUAUAUUUUUAUAUAUUUGGUUUGAUACUCCAUUGUAUCCCAUAUAUAGCAGAAUUUCAGAGAACGUUGGAUAAACCUUUCUGGCAUCUCAGCCAUCUUGACUAAAUGGAUUCCAAAAUCGCUGAGACCUCAGAAAUGACUUUCCUGCGUGGUGCUCCACUUACUCAGCAUGGAGAAGCUCGUGUCCACUAGAGGACCUAGCCGCAAAGUAUAUGCUUCUUACUUCACAUACGUCAAGGUACCAUAUUUUAUCUUUGCACUGUUGGGCAAGGAUAGAUCAGACCUCGUGCUCGGUUGUGCAAUAAAUAUAAUUGGAAAAACAUAUUCUGAGUGCAACAAACGAAAUUUCAAUGAUAAUUUUGAUUUGACGGUUAAGUUUUCAGUGAAAAUAUUGGUACGCGCAGAGUUUAAAAACAAGGCUGUAGUGCUUGCUGAACUGAUUUUAGCUCAAAGUACAGUGCACGAGCCACCCUCUUAGGAAGCGGAUUGACAUGUCAUCAAUGUUUAAAAUAGCCAGCUACAGGAUAUAGCCGCGGUCUCCCAAAACAGCUAUAGUUCGGCUAUAGCCUGGCUAUAGCUGGCUAUUUAAGAAUUUUGAUACCUUUUAGCGGGCUAAUGCAGUUAGCUGUACCAUGCGGGAAAGGCUAUAGCUGGCUAUUUUAAACUAUGCAUGUCAUAUAUCAUCUUAUGUUCUUGGUGAAAUGACAAUGGAUGGAAGUCUGCUUACAGAUAAGUGUACUAAUUUUAGGAUAUUCAGAUACUGGUUAGCUCAUGGCAUUGCUACAUAUUUUAAUGGUUAGUACUUCAGUUCACAAUAGUCCGCCUUUUUAUUUACAUUCUGCACCUGCUGAUUUAGUGUUUCGCGAAUGGAAAUAUUAACAUAAAUUUCUGAACCUUUUUAGGAUAUGAGCGAAAGAAAAUGCUAAUUAUACUUUUGUAGAGAACAAAUUUCUUCAUCGCAAGGCCAGAUGUUUUCUGUACUAUUCUACACAAGCAGAUCUCCUGCAGCUGCCUCAGUCCAUCUUUGUCCACAUCGUCCUCGUAUGUGUAGCCACGAGCCUGCAUGUUGAUCCCAGGUGCAUCUCUUUCGAUGUCUCUCCUUAGUGUCACACCCACGGUUCAGCGGCGAGGCAGAGCUGACUCAAAUAGAGACCAAGAGACUUAUAUUUUUCGUCCAAAUAAGAAACAAAAUCCGAGGAUGUAUGUGUAUCAUAAUAAUAUUGUAGCAGACCUCACUUCGAAAUUGUUUUGUCUGAGAAAAAUGCAGACACCCUGCAAAUCUGUGUAGUAUAAAAGAUUAAAAAAAUCACUGUCUCAUUAUUCUUAACGACGCUGUGUAGUAGAAAACAUAAAAAAUUCUGACUGUCUCAUUAUUCUUAAGGAGGGAUGCUCUUCCAUGCUUUUCCUACAUUCUGGAGCAUCAUACAUAGUUUUACCUGGAACUUGAUUCAGUUUCACGACUAGGAGGUAGCAUGGACGCUAUAGGCUUCAUACAUGUUUCAGUGGAUGCAUGCCAUAGAAAUUUGCAACUGAUGCAUUAUUCAUCAUUCUGCAUGUUGCUGCCUCUGGUGCUUGCUGGGCUUAGGCUGUGUGUAGAUCUGCCGAGUUGCCAAAUCAUUUGAGAUUGUGGAAAGAUAUGUUUGCCCCAUACAUGUAUAUAUAUAAGUAACUACGUAUAGAAAGUUUUAUAUUGCUUUCCUUGAGCAAAAUACUCACUUUCCAGGCUGGCAGGCUCCACUAUACGAUGAAAUGUUCAAUUUUUGUUUGUAUCUUCCAAUUCAGAUAAUUCACUCUUCAGGUCUAGAUAUGAAUAUUUGGUGCCCCCAAGAUAUUUGACAAAUUUAUUGUAGACGAUUACCAGGCAACAAUAGAUCUGGUCUAUUAACCAGAUCCUGGUUUUAAAUUAUCUCUAAAUAGUCAUAAACCUGCUACCAGAAGAAAAACCAAAUAAAUUUAAAUCAAAUUACUUUUGUGAAACAUUGGUGCCUGGAGAAAUGAAAAUGUUUCGUGGUUGUUACAUCUAGGACGUGGUAGUAGAUGAUUCAGCCUAAAGGCAUUGUCCAGCACUAAUUUAGGAUGGUGAAAAGCCUUGACUUCUCACUUAGCUGAUUUCAGAAGCUAAACAUGAAUUUUACAUCAAACAUGGCUAUUUCCGGUGCUUCUUUUGUAGAAGUUGUUCAUGGUAUCUUAUACUAUCUUAUUUUCUUACCUAUGAGUGAUGAUCAGCGGUAAUUUUAUUGGUCCUGUGACAUGAUCUUCAUCUACAUCCACACAGCUACUGAAACAACCGUCUUGGUCUUAGAAUAGAAACUACAGCCUGAAUCAAGAUCAUGAACCUCUCAUAUUUAUAUAAAAUCCCUAUUUAUAUGAUAAAUGACCUGUCUGGUCCUCCAUAUUUGCAGCUUGAUGGCGGGAAAUUCAUAGGAAGACUCCUCUAAACCCAGGAGCCGAGCUUUUAUUAGUGAUAUUUUUUUAGAUCUUUAUGUUAAUUGUGAAGUUGAUUACUUUGUGUUCCUUUGCUUACAUGAAUAUGACCCUAUAAAUGUUGUGAUUUAGCCGUACUUGGGCCCAUUGGAUUUUUCCUUUUGGAACAUGCAAUGGAACAAUAUAUUACAACAUGCUGCUUAACUUUUUUCCAUUUGUUAUCUACAAUAGUUAUAUCAUGGUAUUGUGUAGUCUAAAUAAGAUUGAUGUUCAGACUAUUCCGAUAAGCAGGAUGCCGAAAUUCUAAAAUCCAGGUGACACGCAACAAGCUGCCUUGACUAAUUAUAGAACUAUCUGCUUUUGUUUACCGAGCUUUCAUUUUCAUCAGUUUUGUUGUCAAACAUGUAGAGAGUUUUUGUUUACGAGCUUCUACUGCCUUACAGCGGUGUUUCCUCUUGUUGAUGCAAGGCAUAAUAGAUUUAUAUUUUCUUUGUAUUGUGACUUCUAAAGACCAUGCUGUGACAAUUGCAUUGCCUAUGUAGACCAUGAUGCAAGCUUGUCUCAUCUGAACAUUUGAUUUAUUUGUGAGAGAAGUUAUUUCAUUAAUUCUAUCAUUUAAAUUUGUAGUGACUGUACAUACAAUUCUAUUUGGAAGAUAUGUUUUCUGUUUUUCUUUUGAUAGGUAUCAGAUGAGAAAAGUAUUUGUUAGCUUGAGUACCUUUUCUCUUUACAUGGCUUAACCUUAUAUUUUUCCCGUAAAGAGUAACGACAUAAGAAAAUAUUGAUGCACAACUUCAUCUGACCUUGCUCAGUUAAGAAACUUACGAAUAUGCCUAAAAGUAGCUCGGACAAGAACGGAUUAUUUGUAGUGACUGUAUAUACAAUUCUAUUUGGAAGCCUGUAUCUGCUUGAUAUCUUCUUCCUUUUAGAAUUAUUUUUAAUGUUUGUAUUACUGGUGGCUGCUAAUUUAUUAUGUGAGGUAGCUAUUUUCUGUUAUUGUAAAUGUAAAGAAUGAACCCCAUGUUCUAGAGAAAAUAGAAUCGUGUGUAUCAAAUCUGAAACACCGUGAAGGAUUUAGGAUUAGAAUUAUAGUCUCUCCACACAUGUUUUGCUACAUAUCUAAACUUGAAUAAACUGAUAGCAGAUGUUCAGCUGGACUUUAUUGUAGAAAAUAGACGUUCACUGCUGAUUUUUUUACAUGCUCAAUCUUAUUUGGUGCCUUACUCCCAAUUCCAUUUCUUAAAUGUAGAUAACAAACACUAUGUUCUAAAAAGUGCAGAGCCAUGUGUCUCAAAUCUGAAACACGGUGGAAGAUUUAGGAGCAGGUUUGUAGUCUCUACAAACAUACUGUGAUGCAUAUCUGAAAUCAAAGAAGCCACUAACAUGUGGUCAUCUGAAGUUUGCUUAUAGAAAAUGAACGUUUGCUACUACUUUAUUUACUUGCUCAAGCUUUCUUGCUUGAUUACUCCAGCUUCUCUUUCCUUUUGUACUCCUCAUGUGCCUAUGCAAAAGGUUGGACGCACGAUAUAUGUGUUAUUUGGUACCUAUAUUCUGUUUCUUUUUUAUAGAUGGAAAUCCUAGCGAUUCUCACUUAGUAUAUUCAGUUCCAAAUAAGAAAAUGUAUAGUGAGUACCCUGUUCAUUGGCUGUUGUUUCAUAAUAAGUUUUUUAACAGACAUAACUUGGCCAUUCGGCAAACUGUUAAUGAUAACACAUGUAUGUUAUGUUUCGAGUUUGAAAGUGUGAAUCAUCUAUUUUUUUGAAUGUGAUAUUGGUAAGACUCUUUGGUUAAUUUUUUUUGACAC
Molecule: non-coding RNA, 6574 nt
Organism: Lolium perenne
Lineage: Eukaryota; Viridiplantae; Streptophyta; Magnoliopsida; Poales; Poaceae
Source: RefSeq, a predicted model, not a curated record